AUGGCCAAGGCCCAGGUCAUCGCCCGGAUCACGGUUGAGGUGGCGCCGUCCAUCAUCAGGCGCCGCCGACGCGGGCUCCCGUUGACGGUGCUGGACACGAUAGCCGAGGAGGAGAAGGAGGCGGCCGCGGCCAUGGCGCCUCACCACCGCAACAAUGCGACCGCCUGCCGCUGCGCCGGGGACACCACUGGCUCUUCGGUGCACGCCGGUGCCGAGAAGGGGAAGCGGUGCGUCGGCGGGAGCAACGAACCCUCGGAGCGCGGGGAGGAGCGGCUCGCGCCGGCCAAAGCGCGGUGCUCAAAGAUCGCCGCGUGA
Molecule: ribosomal RNA, 315 nt
Filed under: Triticum aestivum (bread wheat)
Lineage: Eukaryota; Viridiplantae; Streptophyta; Magnoliopsida; Poales; Poaceae
Description: partial small subunit ribosomal RNA
Source: RNAcentral